GAUGAACGCUGGCGGCGUGCCUAAUACAUGCAAGUCGAGCGAACAGACCAGGAUCUUUCUCGUUUGACGUUAGCGGCCGACGGGUGAUUAACAUGUUUUUAACCUACCUAUAAGACUUGGAUAAUUUCGGGAAACCGGAUCUUAUACCGUAUAAUAUUUCGAACCGCAUUGUUCGAUAGUAAAAUUUGGCUUUUCUAUCACUUAUAGAUGGACCUGCGCCGUAUGAUCUAGUUGUUAAUGUCACGGCUUACCAAGGCAAGGAUUCGUAGCCGACAUGAGAGGGUGAUCGGCCAGCUUGGAUGUGAGACACGGCCCAGACUCUUGGGGGAGGACGCAGUCGGGACUCCUACGCAAUGGGGGAAAGACUGACGGAGCAAAGCCGAGUCAGUGCUGAAGAUCCACGGAUCGGAAAACGCUGUUAUUAGGGAAGAACAAACGUGCAAGUAACAGUGAACGUAUUGACGGUACCUAAUCAGAAAGCCACGGCUAACUACGUG
Molecule: ribosomal RNA, 497 nt
Filed under: uncultured bacterium
Lineage: Bacteria
Description: partial 16S ribosomal RNA
Rfam family: Bacterial small subunit ribosomal RNA
Source: RNAcentral